This 403-nucleotide ribosomal RNA is filed under the name uncultured bacterium. RNAcentral's name for it is "bacterial SSU rRNA". It matches the Rfam family "Bacterial small subunit ribosomal RNA", at positions 356 to 773 of the family's 1533-position model. The record is from RNAcentral.
GGGGAAUAUUGUGCAAUGGGGGAAACCCUGACGCAGCAACGCCGCGUGGAGGAUGAAGGUCUUCGGAUUGUAAACUCCUUUGAUGAGGGAAGAAAAAAAUGACGGUACCUCAAAAACAAGCCACGGCUAACUACGUGCCAGCAGCCGCGGUAAUACGUAGGUGGCGAGCGUUGUCCGGAAUUAUUGGGUGUAAAGGGCGUGUAGGCGGGAAUGUAAGUCAGAUGUGAAAUUUAUGGGCUUAACUCAUAACCUGCAUCUGAAACUAUGUUUCUUGAGUGCCGGAGAGGAAAGCGGUAUUCCUAGUGUAGCGGUGAAAUGCGUAGAUAUUAGGAGGAACACCGGUGGCGAAGGCGGCUUUCUGGACGGUAACUGACGCUGAGGCGCGAAAGCGUGGGGAGCAAAC